RNAcentral lists this transfer RNA (102 nucleotides) under Pestalotiopsis fici W106-1. It matches the Rfam family "tRNA". Rfam says of the family: Transfer RNA (tRNA) molecules are approximately 80 nucleotides in length. Their secondary structure includes four short double-helical elements and three loops (D, anti-codon, and T loops). Further hydrogen bonds mediate the characteristic L-shaped molecular structure. tRNAs have two regions of fundamental functional importance: the anti-codon, which is responsible for specific mRNA codon recognition, and the 3' end, to which the tRNAs corresponding amino acid is attached (by aminoacyl-tRNA synthetases). tRNAs cope with the degeneracy of the genetic code in two manners: having more than one tRNA (with a specific anti-codon) for a particular amino acid; and 'wobble' base-pairing, i.e. permitting non-standard base-pairing at the 3rd anti-codon position. Lineage: Eukaryota; Fungi; Ascomycota; Sordariomycetes; Amphisphaeriales; Sporocadaceae. The record is from Rfam by way of RNAcentral.
GGUCGGUUAGUGUAGUUGGUUAUCACAUCGGAUUCUGAUCUUGAAUUUUAUCUAGAUCAUUUGAGUUUUCCGGUAACCGGGGUUCGAAUCCCCGACUGACCU